Long non-coding RNA from Apteryx owenii (little spotted kiwi), 1891 nucleotides. The record is from Ensembl. NCBI's taxonomy places the organism in Eukaryota, Metazoa, Chordata, Aves, Apterygiformes, Apterygidae.
GGCGCGGGGCUCUGCCUGGGCUCCGCCCGGGCUGCCGGAGGGUCGCGGCGGCGGCGCAGCGCGGCCCGGCUCCGCUCCGCUCCGCUCCGCUCCGCUCCGCUCCAGCGCCUGGGACGCGCCCGGCCGUGGCGCGCUCAGAAAGCCCCGACAGAUCCGGCAUCGCUUCCGUGGCGGGGACCGGAAGCUUUCCGGAAGCUUCUCUUUCGUUUGAAGCCAUGCUGGAAGGACGAGGAAGGGUUUAAGGACAGAGCGUAAGGCAGGCGCCCUGCGCUCUGAGGGGAAAUGACUUUAAAAGGAGGUGUCUUCAUAUCUUUGCUAAUGAGAAACUUGGUAAAGAAUGGGGAGAGAUAUAGCAAGAGAGCAAAGGAGAGACCAUGUAUACAAUACUGAAUUAUGCAGAAUUUCUCUGUUCUCCUACAAAAACCUGCAUGGCUAUUUUAUUUGUUGAGCUGGUAUUCAGAUAAGAGUGGAGGCUACUGGAAUGUGUGCAUGUUUCCAGCUUAGGAACUAUCAAACUGGCUUAUCCUCAGGUGAUGAGUCUGACGUGUCCUAGUGAGCUCCUGCUGUCACUCCGAUAGAGUCCAAACUGCUGUGGGAAUGAAGAAAACAGGAAUAAUACUAGCACUGGGCUGGCCAGAGCACACUUAUGUUCCCCACAUCAGGGCCUGUGCCAGUCAUGUUAACCACAACACAAGCCAUCCUGAAAUCUUAGUAUUGCACUUCUGCUGCAAAGAUUUCAAGGACUAUCGAUGGAUUGGCAGCUCAGCUAAGAAGCCAAGCUUUAAUACGUAUGCACAAGCAAACUCAUAUACACACUUACACAUACUUGAGGGAAGUAUAGAGGAAGACACCCUUAAAACUAUAUUUAGUUGCAGAGGAAAUGUUUUUUAAAAGCUCUUCAUUCAUCUGGAAAAUAUCUCAAUGUUAGUAAAGUCAUUACAAACCUGGAUUAUCUAGUUAAUAUUGUAACUGCUGUCUGCUUCAGUCAGUCCAGGCUAAGAACAAGAUUUGAAUGGUAUCUCACUUACGAGCUAGGUCUGCAAAACUGCUAAUGCCAUUCAGAUCUCAGCCACUGUGGUACUAGAAAACAGAACAAAAGAGAAGCCAUAUUAAUUUCCUGCAUCACAAUUGUGUGUACCUUGAUUUCCAGAGGGUUAGCAUCUCGGCUGGCCCCAGUUCCUAACUGUUCCCUGCUGGGUGAACACAGUUCUUAGAAUCACAUUCCAGUAAAGAUAACUCUGAGUACGAUUCUGGCAUCCCCUUCCUGUGCAAAGGUUACUGUAUUUGCCUGAAAUUUUUUCAGUAAGAUCUGUGCCCAUUAGCUUCUUCCUGAGAAUGUGGUAACAAAGAUAUUUUAUUUUUAUAUAUAUACACUAUAUAUACUAUAUAUAUAUAUAUAUAUAUACACACACAAGGUGUGUAAAUACACACACACACACACCCCCCUUGUGAAACCUUACUUCAUUCAGCUCAAAAGGAACACAACCCAGCUGAGUAAUAUUUGAAACAAAUCACAGAAUCACAGAAGGGUUGAGGUUGGAAGAGACUUCUGGAGAUCAUCUAAUCCAAUUCCUCUGCUCAAGCAGGGUCACCUAGAGCACGUUGCCCAGGAUUGUGUUCAGAUGGCUUUUGACUAUCUCCAGAGAAGGAGGCUCCACAACCUCUCUGCACAACCUGUUCCAGUGCUCUGUCACCCUCACAGUAAAAAAGUUUUUCCUCAUGUUCAGAUGGAACUUCCUGUGUUUCAGUUUGUGCCUGUUGCCUCUCGUCCUAUCGCUGGGCACCACUGAGAAGAGUCUGGUCCCAUCCUCUCGACACCCUCCCUUCAGAUACUUAUACACAUUGAUAAGAUCCCCCCCUUAGUCUUCUCAGCUUCAGGCUGAACAGUCCC